GAAUCCAAAGGGAUCUUCUCCGAAGAGGCCGCGGUCUCUCACGAGGAGUAGAUCCGAUGUGAAUGAGUGAAGCUCUAUCUCUCAAAAUGAGCUAAACCAACGCUAACCCUAGUACGGAGCUAAGGGACAAGUAUUUAUAGUCCAAGGGGUAAGUUGGGGGAUACAUGGGGUGAAACCCUUGUCGCUGCGCGCAGGCAGGGCGGUUGUACCGGUCAUGGGCCGGUUGUACCGCUGGGAGCUCAGGUACUGGUUCCUGGAGGCGUUUCCGGAUGUGCUCAGCGGUUGUACCGGUGCUUGGGGCGGUUGUACCGGUCAGGUGGCUGUUGCAGGGAUAAACCGGUGUUGUACCGGCCUUGCACCGCUUGAUGUCAGAAGCUUGACCGGUAGUUGACCGGUGGUCGAGCGGUUGUACCGCCCGGGCGGUAGUUGGGCGGUGCAUGGGCGGUUGUUCCGGGGUUUCUGAGCUGGGAUGAUGUUCUUCGUGCUCUUGAUGUCCUUCUUGCAUCGUGACUUCUCCUGGGUUGCUUACUUGAUACCUAAGCACACAAAGCAUCUUCGUUUGAGGUAGUAGCCAUGUCUCAAGUGGGUCAAAGGGAAGUUCAACAAGGAGAGAGUUAACCUCAUUCUCAAUGGCUCUCGCACGGGCUCUUGUCAUUGGUCCAAAUGGUGUCAUGGGAGAUGUAGGUAGGUCCAUGAGGAUGACCUUGGGAUGCUCCGCAUCAGGUACCUU
Molecule: non-coding RNA, 730 nt
Organism: Triticum urartu
Lineage: Eukaryota; Viridiplantae; Streptophyta; Magnoliopsida; Poales; Poaceae
Source: RefSeq, a predicted model, not a curated record